Molecule: unclassified non-coding RNA, 229 nt
Filed under: uncultured fungus
Lineage: Eukaryota; Fungi
Description: sequence contains ITS1, 5.8S rRNA gene
Rfam family: 5.8S ribosomal RNA (bases 181-229)
Source: RNAcentral
UCUCCGUAGGUGAACCUGCGGAGGGAUCAUUACCGAGUGAGCGCUCCGGCGCGACCUCCAACCCCAUGUUUUCCGACUCUGUUGCCUCGGGGGCGACCCUGCCGGCACUCUGUCGCCGGGCGCCCCCGAAGGUCUCCAAACACUGCAUCUUUGCGUCGGAGUUUAAAACAAAUUAAACAAAACUUUCAACAACGGAUCUCUUGGUUCUGGCAUCGAUGAAGAACGCAGC